GAGACAACAACUGUGCCCAAUUAAGCACCGGUUCUAACAAAGGUCUGAUUUCAUCAAAGGUGUCAGAAUGUGCAUGAUUUUCAUUUUGACAAUCAUUAGCUUCCUAUGGAGCAAGUAGACACAGCAUUUCCUGGCAGCAAGUUCAUUAACUGGAGGCUGUGCUUUAUCUGCCUUCCUCCAGCUCCUCUUUGCUUCUGGGCUCCAGGUACUUGAGGGUCACACUGUCUGAGGACUUAACAAAUAAGAACAGCAAAAGACAAAAUCCACAGCAAGCACUAUUAAUAAUCCACCUGUCCAUCGUGCCAGCUAAGAAUUGGAGGAAGAUCCUCUUUCUUCUUGAUAGAUAAGCAAGAGGAAAAGGCCUGUCUGAAAUGAUUAAAGGAAGUAGUAUGUAACAAGGCUUCCUCAUACUGAGUGACAGGGAAGAGGCUGGUCACUGAUAUUUAAAACACACAUUAUCAUUCCAUCUUCCUGUCAUUCUGCUCCGCAAGCUGUUCAGAUUUGUCAGUGCCAGUAAGAUGGUUGCUAAAAGCAGCUGAGCAAACAAAGAAAAGUCUGACCAGAAUCUGGAUUAAAAAAAAAACCAAAACACCCUGAUUCUGAAUUCUUCUGCCCUCCCCCUGCCCCCCAUCCCUCCCCCGGAUCCUUGAGCACCAAAGGGCUGAGCCACAGGACACACUCCUCAGUUACUGACACAGUGCUCAAGCACCACUCUCUCUGCCUACCUGGGGUACAGCACAUCCCAGAUGCAAAAUUAACACCAACCCAUGGGAAUCUUAAAUGUUUCCUCCUCCUCUGCAGAAAGGAUGCUUGAACUGAAGGCCACUACAGAGGCAGCAAGCCCACCCCUACUUGGGGCCAUGCAUCUCCCAGCUCUGCAGAAGGCUUAUUCAAGGAGCAUUUUUUCCUCUGAAGAGGUGGGGAGACUGUUUGUCCCCAGGAUGAGCCAAUACAGAUUAUUAAUUUCUCAGUAGAAUGCAAGAGCCCAUAAACAAAGGAAAACAUCUGCUCAUAAAGCUGAUAAUGACUGUAGUGCAGACAACACUCGACCUGCUUUUUAAACCUCCUUUUAAAACACACAUCCCUUACUACUAAAAAUUCCCUCCUUACUGAUCCUUCCCUUUCCAUUCUUCUUUCUCUCCUCCUACUGCUCACUUCUAAAGAGAAUUCUCCCUCCCCACUACCAUUAAACAUUUUCAAUGACAAAAUGUUCUUCCAGCUCUGCAACCAUAGAGGCCGCAAGGGAGAUUUUCACAUCGUUUUUCAGUCUGUUCCACCCAAGAAAGUCAGAAGUAAACCGUGGUCCGAUCAGGCAGAAAUCAAAACUAAGCACACCACCAUCUCCUACUCCCUUUAUCCGCUAAUCGCUCAUUGACGCCGAUUCAAGUUUCCUCCUUCACAGCUCAUGUAGGAAUUAGAAAAAAAUAAUCCUACCUCAGCCUCGCAUUGCUUUCCUUGCCAGUUUUGUUGUUAUUUCCUUCUUCUUGCUCUCUCACCUUGACAUCAACAAAGUUACCAAGGCUGUAAACCAAAAGGACAAGACAACAGGUUUCAUUUAACCUCCCUAAUGUAAAUAUUUAGCACAAAGAACAAUCUCUCCCUCACAGACCACUCCCCACCUAGAUGACACGUCUACUGAUUUCUAG
This 1646-nucleotide long non-coding RNA is filed under the name Meleagris gallopavo (turkey). RNAcentral's name for it is "lncRNA (ENSMGAG00000020790.1)". The record is from RNAcentral. Lineage: Eukaryota; Metazoa; Chordata; Aves; Galliformes; Phasianidae.